AGGACGAACGCUGGCGGCGUGCUUAACACAUGCAAGUCGAGCGGAAAGGCCCUUCGGGGUACUCGAGCGGCGAACGGGUGAGUAACACGUGAGCAACCUGCCCCUGGCUCUGGGAUAGCCUUCGGAAACGGGGAUUAAUACCGGAUAUUCACUGCUUCCUGCAUGGGGGGUGGUGGAAAGUUUUUCGGCUGGGGUGGGCUCGCGGCCUAUCGGCUUGUUGGGGGGGUGACGGCCCACCAAGGCGACGACGGGUAGCCGGCCUGAGAGGGCGACCGGCCACACUGGGACUGAGACACGGCCCAGACUCCUACGGGAGGCAGCAGUGGGGAAUAUUGCGCAAUGGGCGGAAGCCUGACGCAGCGACGCCGCGUGCGGGAUGAAGGCCUUCGGGUUGUAAACCGCUUUCACCAGGGACGAAGCGAGAGUGACGGUACCUGGGGAAGAAGCGCCGGCUAACUACGUGCCAGCAGCCGC
Molecule: ribosomal RNA, 474 nt
Filed under: uncultured bacterium
Lineage: Bacteria
Description: SSU rRNA
Rfam family: Bacterial small subunit ribosomal RNA
Source: RNAcentral